GGCAGUGGUGGAUUGGUGGUUAAGGCUCUGGAUUAUUGAUCGGAAGGUUGGGGUUCAAGACCCAGCACUGCCA
Ameiurus melas (black bullhead) is the source of this 73-nucleotide non-coding RNA. Lineage: Eukaryota; Metazoa; Chordata; Actinopteri; Siluriformes; Ictaluridae. The record is from the annotation of a GenBank genome assembly.